This 69-nucleotide transfer RNA is filed under the name Stegodyphus mimosarum. It matches the Rfam family "tRNA". Rfam says of the family: Transfer RNA (tRNA) molecules are approximately 80 nucleotides in length. Lineage: Eukaryota; Metazoa; Arthropoda; Arachnida; Araneae; Eresidae. The record is from Rfam by way of RNAcentral.
GGUAGCAUGGCCUAGCGGUUUAAGGUACCAGUUUUUUUGGAGGCGUGGGUUCGAGUCCCACGGCGCCUC